CGCUCGCGGUCGGGUUGUCGAUCUGCGCCUACGGGGUGCUGCUCUCGCGUCGGAUCGGCGCGCACCGGCGCGGCUCCGUCGCGGGCGG
Molecule: transfer RNA, 88 nt
Filed under: Embleya hyalina
Lineage: Bacteria; Bacillati; Actinomycetota; Actinomycetes; Kitasatosporales; Streptomycetaceae
Description: tRNA-Arg
Source: RNAcentral